CCUACGGGUGGCAGCAGUGGGGAAUAUUGGGCAAUGGGCGCAAGCCUGACCCAGCAACGCCGCGUGAAGGAAGAAGGCUUUCGGGUUGUAAACUUCUUUUCUGAGGGACGAAGAAAGUGACGGUACCUCAGGAAUAAGCCACGGCUAACUACGUGCCAGCAGCCGCGGUAAUACGUAGGUUGCAAGCGUUAUCCGGAUUUAUGGGGUGUAAAGGGCGUGUAGGCGGGAAAGCAAGUCAGAUGUGAAAACUCAGGGCUCAACCCUGAGCCUGCAUUUGAAACUGUUUUGCUUGAGUGCUGGAGAGGCAAUCGGAAUGACGUGUGUAGCGGUGAAAUGCGUAGAUAUACGGAGGAACACCAGUGGCGAAGGCGGAUUGCUGGACAGUAACUGACGCUGAGGCGCGAAAGCGUGGGGAGCGAACAGGAUUAGAUACCCUAGUAGUC
Molecule: ribosomal RNA, 443 nt
Filed under: uncultured bacterium
Lineage: Bacteria
Description: partial 16S ribosomal RNA
Rfam family: Bacterial small subunit ribosomal RNA
Source: RNAcentral